Molecule: non-coding RNA, 98 nt
Filed under: uncultured Ruminiclostridium sp.
Lineage: Bacteria; Bacillati; Bacillota; Clostridia; Eubacteriales; Oscillospiraceae
Description: THF riboswitch
Rfam family: THF (Tetrahydrofolate) riboswitch aptamer
About the family: THF riboswitch presents a pseudoknot that joins P1-P2 and the loop of P3 and two THF binding.
Source: RNAcentral
CAGAGUAGGAAACUGCGCGUUAAGUGCGCUGCGAACGGAGAGUUGGCGCAGCGACGAAAAGCACCGGGUGCUUGCGGUGCAGUUUCCGCAUCUCGCUG